AGAGUUUGAUCCUGGCUUAGGAUGAACGCUGGCGGCGUGCUUAACACAUGCAAGUCGAACGAAGCAACUAUCUUGCUUGCAAGAGAGUUGACUUAGUGGCGGACGGGUGAGUAACGCGUGGGUAACCUGCCUCAUACAGGGGGAUAACAGUUGGAAACGACUGCUAAGACCGCAUAACCCGCUAGUGUCGCAUGACACGGACGGAAAAUAUUUAUAGGUAUGAGAUGGGCCCGCGUCUGAUUAGCUAGUUGGUAAGGUAACGGCUUACCAAGGCGACGAUCAGUAGCCGACUUGAGAGAGUGAUCGGCCACAUUGGGACUGAGACACGGCCCAAACUCCUACGGGAGGCAGCAGUGGGGAAUAUUGGACAAUGGGGGAAACCCUGAUCCAGCCGACGCCGCGUGAGUGAAGAAGUAUUUCGGUAUGUAAAGCUCUAUCAGCAGGGAAGAUAAUGACAGUACCUGACUAAGAAGCCCCGGCUAACUACGUGCCAGCCGCGGC
This 501-nucleotide ribosomal RNA is filed under the name uncultured bacterium. RNAcentral's name for it is "bacterial SSU rRNA". It matches the Rfam family "Bacterial small subunit ribosomal RNA", at positions 8 to 518 of the family's 1533-position model. The record is from RNAcentral.